CAGAGUCAGAGUGGAAUGAACUCAGAGCGGUGAAGACACAGACCAAGCAAAACCAUGGAUGUUGUAAAUGCUGUGAAAAUGAUCGUACUGGUUUGGACUUUCGCAUCUGUCUGUGAGGCCAGUGAUGAUUCAUGUACCUUCAGUUCAAGCUGUGCUGAUGUGACUGGUACUGUGCAUGAAGAACUAACUCUCACUUGCAGCAUCUCACUGAACUGCACUAAAGAAGCUGAUAAAUGCUGCAUUAUAUCGUACAUGUUUAAGGAUGAAAACACCAAACCAAA
Molecule: long non-coding RNA, 281 nt
Organism: Cyprinus carpio (common carp)
Lineage: Eukaryota; Metazoa; Chordata; Actinopteri; Cypriniformes; Cyprinidae
Exons: 3
Source: RefSeq, a predicted model, not a curated record